GGAACGAUUGUGGUCUGGCUUGCCUAGCAAUAUUGUUGGGCGCCAUCACGACCGGGUUUGGGGUCGUGACACAUAUCCAGGAAGCCAUCAAGCUAAAACAAAAUUUUACAGAUGCAUAUUUGAACAUGGGAAACGUGUAUAAGGCUCUGGGAAUGCCACAGGAGGCCAUUAUGUGUUACCAGCGUGCUCUCCUUGUGCGACCAGACUAUGCAAUGGCUUUUGUUGAUGCUCUAUACUAAUUGAGGUGAAGGAUAAAGUAGGACGAAAAUCAUAUAAGCUUGAAGCUACCUGAGGCCUCAAUUCUGGGCAACGCAGUACCUUAGCCAAAAACUUUAUUUCCGAGUAUAUACACCAGGUACUAAAGACAAUAUUUUGAAAUUAACAUCAGGGACGUGAACCUUUCGUCUCAUAUGAAGGUUGAAAGCUACUAUAACUUAGUAAGCAUAUGAUGUAAAAAUCAUGUAAAUAAAGUAAGUAUCUGCUUAUGAGGAGACCAAACAGGCGAAGGGAAAACAUGGAAGAAAGAGAAUGCAUCUAGAAGACAAUAUAAUGCAACAUAAAGAUAAGAGAACUACACAGAAUUCAUUCGUGAUGAUUAGUCUCAAACCAAAAAAAAAGAGUUAGAUAAACACACCUUCACUUCAUCGUACAGCUUUUUCUCCGCAGCUUAUUUGGGGCUGGUUUUAUGUUUGCUUUCAUGGAUAUUUACAUGUCCUUUUCCUGCUGCGUAUUGGAACAAUUUAAGCUGCGUUCUAGGCUGAUUUUCGGAACUUACGGGGGGCUGUUUUGACUGACUUUUUAGGGUGAGUUUUGCGGCAGAUCUUAUAGCCGUAUUUUUCUACGUAUUGGCUACUCUUGGUCCAGAUUUGUUGACUGUUUUUCAGCGAUAUCGGCAGCAGGUUUAAAGCUGGAAUUUUUGGACGGUUUUUAGGUGAGAAUGUCGCAGCAUUUCGGACUGUUUGAUGCUGAUUUUCUCGGCUUUUUGGAGUAUUUUGCGGCUGUUUUAAGUUCCGGUUUAAAGCUGGUUUGUGUGGGUUUAAGGUGGAAGAAAAAGCUUGUGAAAAGGAACAAUUUUUUUGCUCCUCAAACAGCGGUUUCUGCUGUGAUUGAGCACAAAUAGUACUGUUAUGCACUCCCUUCCUCUUUUGUUUGUCCUUGGUUUGCUCUUACACAUUUAGAACAAAAAUGGUCUUCAGCUGUUGUCAGCAGUUUGGGAGUGACUUAUCCAUGAUACAACAACUUUUUCCUGGCUGGACUCGUAGUACUGUACAAGCUAAAAUACAAGAAAGAAGAGCAGCUACAUCCAUUUAGGCUUCAAUGGUGGCCAAAGAGUUACUUUGUUCAGACCCGAUGGAUAUUUCUCAUUCCAUAAUGUUUCAGCUGGAACACAUCUCAUAGAGGUGUAACCAAUCGUUCCAAAGGAGGAGCAGUUUCACUAGUGACUUCAUUGUCUUCAAACUUCUGUUCCUCAACUACUGAGGGAGGCAAACGGAUGGAAGUCCCAUACUAUUCUCUUAUCUCUUUGUCACGUUGGUAGCUCGAAAACAGAAUUUUGAACUUGACUUCUUAAUAAUAUUUGGACAACGAUCACAAAGGACGAGCAUCUCAUACUAUUCCUUCAUGCUCAUGCAUAUAAAUAGUAAUCUCGCCUUGCUGUGUACUGUGCCAUUAUUGUCCAUAGUAACUGUUAUACCUAAGAUUCAUUUUUAGACCUGAAGUGUAAACUUUAUUCGAUUUGCUUGUGUUUCAUAUGCUGCUCCAAAUAUGAUAUUUCAAAAUUCGAGGAGGAAGAAACGUUUGUUAAUUUCGUGGUCCAAAGAAAGUAAUGUUUGACAAACUGAGACUAGACAGAUAUUAGAUACUAAUAUAUGCUCACUCAUUGUUGUUCUUUCUGAACACCAGUCCCAUCUGAAUCUUGUGUCAUAUUUAUGCAAGAGGGACAUAUAAAUUUACGAUCGUUGAAGUAGUUGUAAAAUGGGUUUAGCUGUUUUACUGAUGGUAUUCUCAUUUACUUUCUGCUUCUUCCUCAUUACUGUAGGUAGAGAAGGUUCUGUGACACAAGCUUUGCUAAAUCUUCUUUUGGAGGAUAUGAAAUCAGGGCCUGCAUCGGUGCGAGUUCCCGUUCCCUAUUAAAAUGGAUAGCAUAUCUUCCUUUGCAAUAUGGUGGUUGGAAAUUCAAGAUUCAACAAUCUCAACUCUUGAUUAGGAGGAAUCAGAAAUUAAAUCUGCAAUCACUUGACCUUUGUGGUUGUGUGUUAGCUGAUGCUGGAGUCGAGAACAUAAAAGAUCUUUCUUCCCUGAUGUUUUUGAACCUGUCACAAUCGAAAAGUGAUAUUUAUUAUAUUUUCCUAUUGUUAUCUCACUUUCGCGUCCAAGCUUGGAGUUAAGGCAUCAUUUAUUUGCUCAUAGUCAGCCAUUGAUGUCACUUCAUUCAUCUCUACAUCUAUUGAAGUAGAGAUGUAAGAAACCACAGUCAUAUACAAUCUUGAGAGUGUUAGCUCCAUAAUUGGAUACAAUUGGAAUAGUUCAACACUCGUGUAAUAAUACAGUAAAGUUUUGAGUUUUCAGUUAGCUGAAUAAACCAUAAUGAGAAAGAAGCAUACAAA
This is a long non-coding RNA of Nicotiana attenuata, 2606 nucleotides long. RefSeq lists it as uncharacterized. The record is from RefSeq and is a predicted model, not a curated record. Lineage: Eukaryota; Viridiplantae; Streptophyta; Magnoliopsida; Solanales; Solanaceae. The transcript has 6 exons.